AUCUAGUGAGAAGUAGUAACGAAUUCGGUGUUUUCUUGGCCUGCCGAAUCCGGUGAAAAGAGACGUAUCAAUCUAGUGAGAACUAGUAACGAAUUCGGUGUUUUUCAGCCAGCCAAAUCCGGUGAAAAAAGAGUUCCCCCAUUCACGACUGGAAAGUGGAAAGUCGAGCCUUGAUUAAAUUAACCAGAUUCCUUAGUGAGAACUAGCAACGAAUUCGGUGUUUUUUAGCCUGCCAAAUCCGGUGGAAAAAGAGUUCCCCCAUUCACGCCGGUGAAAAAAGAGUUCCCCCAUUCACGCCUGGAAAGUGGAAAGUCGAGCCUUUAUUAAAUUAACCAGAUUCCUUCCAUAAUUGAGUUCUUGCGGGUUCACAAUGUUCAACAACAGCUUCUCGAUCACCGUUUCCGACCAGUCUUCCGAUGAGC
This 422-nucleotide long non-coding RNA is filed under the name Coffea arabica (coffee). RNAcentral's name for it is "long non-coding RNA (CARA_LNC006697)". The record is from RNAcentral. Lineage: Eukaryota; Viridiplantae; Streptophyta; Magnoliopsida; Gentianales; Rubiaceae.